Long non-coding RNA from Hemiscyllium ocellatum (epaulette shark), 332 nucleotides. RefSeq lists it as uncharacterized. The record is from RefSeq and is a predicted model, not a curated record. The transcript is spliced from 3 exons. NCBI's taxonomy places the organism in Eukaryota, Metazoa, Chordata, Chondrichthyes, Orectolobiformes, Hemiscylliidae.
UGCAGCACAUUGUCAAGGCCGAUUUGAUAACAACUUCCAAACGUCUGACCUCCAGGCUCCUUAAAAAACAAAGGCUGGCGUAAUAUUGAAUGGAAGGAAGGGAAUGACAACAACAAGCAGAUGGUUCUUUGUUUUGCCUUCUGCAAAUUAUCUUCAGUCUCUAGUCUCUGAAGGCAAUGGGAAAAGAAAAUAUUCGAUACCCUACAGUGUGGAAGCAGGCCCUUCGGCCCAACCAGUCCACACCGACCCUCUGAAGAGUAACCCACACCGACUCUCUGAUUAAAAAUUGACAUUUCCAGCAAUUUGCGUUUCUGUUUCUGAAUUCCAGCAUC